UACAGAGACCUCAAGCGUUAUCCGGAUUUACUGGGCGUAAAGGGUCCGCAGGCGUCCGCCGAAGUUUCUCGUCAAAUCUCUGGGCUCAACCCGGAGGCUGCGGGAAAAACUGGGCGGAUUGAGGACGGGAGAGGCACAUGGAAUUGCCGGUGUAGUAGUAAAAUGCGUUGAUAUCGGCAAGAACACCAGAGGCGAAGGCGAUGUGCUGGAACGUUCCUGACGCUCAUGGACGAAAGCGUGGGGAGCAAAACGG
RNAcentral lists this unclassified non-coding RNA (253 nucleotides) under uncultured bacterium. RNAcentral's name for it is "contains 16S-23S intergenic spacer region". It matches the Rfam family "Bacterial small subunit ribosomal RNA", at positions 524 to 776 of the family's 1533-position model. The record is from RNAcentral.